RNAcentral lists this ribosomal RNA (253 nucleotides) under uncultured bacterium. RNAcentral's name for it is "partial 16S ribosomal RNA". It matches the Rfam family "Bacterial small subunit ribosomal RNA", at positions 524 to 776 of the family's 1533-position model. The record is from RNAcentral.
UACGUAGGGUGUGAGCGUUGUCCGGAAUUAUUGGGCGUAAAGAGCUUGUAGGCGGUCUGUCGCGUCUGCUGUGAAAAUCCGGGGCUCAACCCCGGACUUGCAGUGGGUACGGGCAGACUAGAGUGUGGUAGGGGAGACUGGAAUUCCUGGUGUAGCGGUGAAAUGCGCAGAUAUCAGGAAGAACACCCGUGGCGAAGGCGGCUCUCUGGAACGCAACUGACGCUGAGACGCGAAAGCGUGGGGAGCAAACAGG